This 730-nucleotide long non-coding RNA is filed under the name Sorghum bicolor (sorghum). Its description in RNAcentral is "long non-coding RNA (SBIC_LNC005420)". Lineage: Eukaryota; Viridiplantae; Streptophyta; Magnoliopsida; Poales; Poaceae. The record is from RNAcentral.
UGUCUUCACUCUCUCUUUUUUUUUUUUUUGCAAAUUACACAAGUACAGCACACACGCACACUCACCCCCUAUCAAUACACAUACACAAACUCUACCCUUAGAGCACCUCCGAAUGACUAUUCCGGCACAUUUCGAGAUUAAUAAAGUCACUACAGGUGUCUCGCUAUCGAUGGGACUCCCCUCGCCGCAAGUAUUCCUUUAGGGCUUCUUUCGAUGUUAUAUACUUCUCUUUCUCCUCCCAUUUCCCUUCGCUUAAAUUAUUGGAAUAAUUUUGGAGGGUUUUCUUAUAAUUUUUAAUUUUGAUUAUGACCUCAGUAUGGAUCUUUUCCUUACUAUUAAAAGAGAAUCUACAAGAGAGCCAAGAAAUUAAGGAUCUUUCUACAUCACAACUGGAUUAUCAUAAUCUAGAUUAUAUUAAUACAUAAAAUUGUUAUAAUUUGGACUAUGAACUAUAAAAAUUGAAGUGUUUGAAUUUCUAGAUUAUUAUGGUAGGUGGGGUUCAGGGUAGAUAUCGAGCCAGCUCGGUUCGUCAUAGCUCGCCUUAUUUAGAAUUUGGCUCGACUCAACUCGUUUCACUAACGAGCUAGAGGAGUAGCUCGGCUAGGCUCACUAAAUAGCUCGAGCAGCCCGUUUUUGCUCGAGAGCCAGAUCUCAAAAACACAUUAUGGAGAAUUUUUUUUCCAUGAACAGCAAGCCAACAAACACAAAGUACAUAUAAAUUUAACAAAGG